CACAAAAUCAAUCCCUCCCAAGGGUCACUGUUCAGAUAUUGGGGAAACCUGUCACUCUGCUUGCAAAACUUGAAUUUGUACCAGAUCAUUUCCUCCACAGUGUCGUUGUACUGAUGUCACUAACUUUUGCUAUAAACCAUGUACCUAAGCUCACUAGGAAUGAGCAUGAAGACUGUGAUGUUGAACAAAGUUACUUAAGCUUUGUUUCCAUGUAAUAUAAUGAAUAAAUUGAUGAUGGAAUAAAAACUAUGACUCUGCAGUUAGUUUGUCUUCCUCAAACUCACUGCAAGUCAGGGUGUUUCUUUUAGUCCUCUUGUCUUGUGUUAGUUGAAUUAUUUUCAUUUUUAAAUGAUUUUGUUUAAUUUGUGGACUACAAAAUAAGACUUUUUUAAAAGGCUUGAAUAUGUUUUUGAUUUCUGAGAUUUGUAAACGUAAUCAAAUUUGAUCUCAAUUUUUUUUCGUUGAAAUGUAAUAUUUGAUUUUUUUUAAUCAAAGUAAGUCAUUUUACUCAAUUUUAACCGAUUAACGGUCCAGUGGCAAGCCUUGUCAGCAGAUGAUGUUCACAUGAAUUUUUUCGCAUCAAUUUUAAUCAUUAAAAAAAAUUUAAAUCAUAUUUUCAGCCCCUCCUUCCUACCACCACACUACUCUACCUUCUUCCCUGAUCUCCUUCUUUCUCUGCCCAUAAUUUUUCUAGACCACAACCUUCAACUCAGAACUUUUUUCCCACACUUCUCUACCUCCUUCAUUCUGUUCUUGUUCCUCUUCCUCCUCAGUCCAUAACCAACAAAUUAAAAAAAGUUUUUUUUACAGCAAUUUAUAUAAUUACCGUAAACAUAUAUCUGGAUGUAAUUCUCACCGCAAGUUAAAAUUUGCUGAUUAUAUUCUUAAAAAAAGAAAAUUAGGGAAGAAGAUGAUGAAGAUCAAAGAGAAGAAAAUGAAGCAUGCAAGUGCCCAAAAGCUCAAAUGAACAAGAAUUUUAUCAUUGGAUGAGAAUUGAAGAAGAAAGAAGAUGGUGGUGGAAGAAUAGAGACUAAAAAUAUGAUUUAAAAAUUUUACAGGGACUAAAAUUGAUACAAAAUAACCUAUGUUGACACCAUUUGCCGACUAGGCUCGCAACUGGACCGUCAUCUGGUUAAAAUUGAGCAAAUUAACUCAAUUUGAUUAAAAAAUUAUUCCAAAAAUUGCAUUUCAGAGAAUUUUUUUUCAAAGGCCCAAUUUAAUUCCCUUUAUAAUCUCAGUAACAUAUUUAAGUCUUUUUAAAAUCAUCCAUAAUAUGUGUUUAUAAAAUGAUACAUAACACUUGAAUAAGAGCCAGCCUACGCUAUGACAAUAACACCGGUUUUAUUGAAACAACAUUACACAAUAACAUCAAAGCGAAUGUAAUGAAAAACAAACCAAUAAAUUUUUCUGUCCUAUUAAGGAUUUUCUUGUAGAGUACUUUUUUUUUGACAGUCUCUUGUAGAGUACUCAAAACAAAUGAAAAGCAGAAUUAUAGUCGCUAAAUUAUAGACAUACAAUUCCGAAUCUUAUUAUAUAGACAUAUACUUUUUUCCACUUGAGCAGAUUAAUCAUUCAAAUAGAAAGCUUGUUGAAGCUAAUUUUCCUUAUGUUUAAAACGUAAGUGUCUAGGGACAUUUCCAAUGCUCUUGUUGGUGGUGUUACUUAGCAACAGGAUAAAAAUAUUUUCUCUAAAAAUGGUGAAUCCAAAAUAAAAACAGCAAUGUAAUAAUUUUUUCGCUAAAUUAGCGACGUAAUAAAAAUUAAACAAUACUUGGUUAGCGACAGAUUGUGAUAUGUUAGCGACAUAUUGCAUCGUCGCAAAUAGCGAUAAAAUAAUAGUUAAUAUGACAAACAAUUUAGCAAAUGAGUUAUGGUAUAUAUUAGCAACGGUAUUUCCGUUGCUGAUAGCGACAGACUCAAAUUCAUCUCUAAUGAUUUAGUUACGCCACAUUUUGCCAUAAAUUGUAAUUUGUCGUUAAUUCUGUCGCUAAAAGAUUAGCAAGGGAAUUUUUUCCCAAUUGGAUUUUUUUAGUAGUGUUAAUAAGGGAUAUAAAUGGUAUAUUGGGUAAUUAGGUGAUAAAAGUAAGAACAUUUAAUACUAUGAGGAAAAAAUGAUGCACCAACCGUGUGGAUGUUAAAAUUAAACUUUAAACUGGAACAAAUGGAUAAGAGUAGAGAUGAGUGUAACUUUGGUAAAGCAAUUUACUCUAUAACUUAAGUAUUGAAAUCAUAUUUUUAGCUUAUAAACUCUAAAUAAAUAAUGUCUAAAAUAUAUUCAUAGUUUUGUGUUUCACAUAUGCGCACAUGCAUAUUUCAUUCCAAAUAUUUAAACUCCAGUUGAAUUUUAAAACUUUGAUCUUAUCUUUCUGUAUAGGAUGGAUGACUAGUUCCAUUGUUGCUUUUGGGGACCCAUUUUAUAUCAUAAGGCAUUAAAUAUGAGACGCGAGGAACACAGUUUUGUCCUGUCAAUUGUUAAUUGCUAAAAUUUACUAGUAUAUUGUUUGCCAACAUAAUGUACAAAUUUUAAAUCAAGAUAAAAAUUAGCAAAACGUUAUAACGUACGCAUGGAAAUUUUGAAAUCGAUAUACAAUUACAAAUUUAAUAUCUUCCACCAAGAAGCGACAAAUAUAAAACUUAAUUUAUAUAUAUAUAUAUAUUCAAAAUAUAUAUAUAUAUAUAUAUUCAUCGGAAAAUUAAUUUAUAUGUUAUUGCAUAUAAUAUUGUAAUUUUAUAAACUUAUAUCAAAUAAAAAAAAUAACAUAAUGUUCAAAUAAGUCACCUUCACCGACAUUUUACACAAUGAGAGAUGUUGUUGACAUUCUUUCUUUGACGAAGUUAUCGGCAUUCAAUACUUUAAAGAACCAAUUUUAUCAAUGGAGUUGUUAUUGGUGUCACCCUACAUCUAAUAAUGACACUCACACUGACACUCCUAAAAAGGCAAAAAUACCAAAAUACAUACACUAUAAAAAACAUUCACCUCAAUUCCUUCCGCCUGCCCUCACCACCUGCCAUCCUCUCUCUUCUUUCCUCAUUAAUUCUACUCAUAUGUAUACACAUCUUCAUACGCAUCUCCACUAGCCACUCUCGCUCUUCUCCGUCGCUCUCCGUUGAACCCAUCAGAAUCUUUAGAAACUCUGUCGUUCUUCGUCGCCUAGCUCGCUUCGUUGAUGUUGUUGUUCCACUUGCAGAUAAACUCGCUGUUGUUUACCAUCAUUUCUAUCUGCAAGUAAAUACACUUUAAAGUGCGUUUAGCCAGUCUUUAAAGUGUAUUAACAUACACACUUUCAAAAUGCAAGUGAAAAAUUUUUAAAUGUCUUUUUCCAAUUUUACGAAUUUAAGAGUGAAUGAAGAACGACACUAAUAACAACCUUUGAAUAAUCAUUCCCACCAAACACGCCCCAAAUUAAACUUGUUGCUUCAGGCUGAUAUACUCACACCUCAUUUUUUCUCUACUUUAUUUUUACCUAUUUUUAUUUCUAUCUCUUUUCUCUUAUCACAUCUUAUACUUUCUCUUUCAUACUUUUUUCUUUUCUUUCUAUUUCAACUCAUCCACCUUUUUCCACUUCAAAACCUCAUUUUUAAGGUGUGAAAGAAUAACUAUUCCUUUAUGGCUUAAAGUUAGAAAAAUAUAAGAAUACAAACGUUAAUGCCUAGGAUUCCAAAGCAUGAUUCACCACGACGGGGAACAGCAAACCGACAGCUUCUGAUAGCGUAAUUUACCGUACAAUUAAUUGAAAAUACUCCCUUCGUUCCUAAAUAACUGAUACUAAUUUGGUUCUUUUUUUUGUUCCUAUUUAACUGAUACUUUUACAAUUUCAAGAGAACAUUAAUGCUACUUUAUCAAUUGUGCCCUUCAUUUAUUGUUGGUAGGAAAAUUGAAAAGUUAAAAUUAAUAAGAGAGAUAGAGGAUAUAAUGGGAAGUUAAAUAGUAAUUUUAGUAAAACAAUAAUAUUAAUUGCUACUUCUUAAUAUUUGUGCCAUAACCUUAAAGUAUCAGUUAUAUAGGAACGGAGGGAGUAAUUCAUACACCACCCUACAAGGCAAAAAAACAAAACGACACAUCAACUUAAAAUAAAAUAAGACCUUAUUGGGGGCAACUUCAACUAUAAAUGGACCUGUAGUUGCUCCUCAGAUCUUCACACAUCCAAAGAAAUAGUGAGAUUGAGGUGAUGGAGUUCAACAAGGUGAAUGUGGUUUUGCUGCUUUCCCUCUUGGCUUUCACUGCAUCUGUUGUCGUUGAUGCACGUAGUUUCGACCCAAAUUCCUUCAUCACUCAAGUGCUUCCAAAAGGUACUGAAGCCAAUUACUAUGUCAAAUCCACAACUAGUGCGUGCUGUAACAAUUGCCCCUGCACAAAAUCAAUCCCUCCCCAGUGUCGCUGUUCAGAUAUUGGAGAAACCUGCCACUCUGCUUGCAAAACUUGCCUGUGUACCAGAUCAUUUCCUCCACAGUGUCGUUGUACUGAUGUCACUAACUUUUGCUAUAAACCAUGUACCUAAGCUCACUAAGAAUGAGCAUGAAGACUGUGAUGUUGAACAAAGUUACUUAUAAAGCUUUGUUU
Molecule: long non-coding RNA, 4561 nt
Filed under: Lotus japonicus
Lineage: Eukaryota; Viridiplantae; Streptophyta; Magnoliopsida; Fabales; Fabaceae
Description: long non-coding RNA (LJAP_LNC000227)
Source: RNAcentral